Molecule: RNA transcript, 1138 nt
Organism: Spinacia oleracea (spinach)
Lineage: Eukaryota; Viridiplantae; Streptophyta; Magnoliopsida; Caryophyllales; Amaranthaceae
Gene name: kinesin-like protein KIN-14S
Exons: 6
Source: RefSeq, a predicted model, not a curated record
CCAACAUAAUCUCAAAAGGCAAGAGACCAAAUUUUCAAAGUCCCGCGCUCAGCUCCGUUCUUCAAUUCUUCCCUCAGCUUUCCCUGCUGGUGGGUCUCGUCGGUGGUUCUCUCCCUCUAGCUUCCUCGUUGGUGGUUCUCUUUUCUCGACGAUGGUUCUCCCCAUCUAGCCUCCGCGUCGGUGGUUCUCUUUUCUCGUCGGUGGUUCUCCUCAUCUAGCUUCCUCGUCGGUGGUUCUCGCCACCUAACUUCUCCGUCGCUAAACCAGCUAGCUUGCUCGGCCGGUGGUUCAGCUCGCGUCCUGUUCUUCGUCAAUAUUUUCACCGCGGUCGGAGCUACUCUGGUUGCUAUUUGUAUCUUGUUGGAAAUCAAGGUCGGAUGUUCAGUAAUCUAACCUGCACAGGGCAUACUUAUUCAUAUUCCCCAAAGCCAUUUCCCCUCAGCAAGAGUAGCUCUACUAAGUCAUGCUUGCAUUAUCCCUUGAAGGAUCAGAUUACAACUAAGCCUUGUUGAACUGAGAUGUGGCUGUAAGUUAUCUGUCUUAUUUAUCCAGAUUAGUCCUAGCGCUGCAGACUUGGGGGAGACUUUAUGCUCCCUGAACUUUGGUAGUCGAGUCAAGGGAAUCGAAUAUGGUCCAGCUCGCAAGCAGACAGAUUUUUCUGAGCUCCUCAAGUAUAAGCAUCUGGCUAAGAAAUCAAAGCAUGAUGAAAAAGAAGCAAAGAAACUGCAGGACAAUGUACAAUCUUUGCAGCUAAGACUUUCUGCCAUAGAGCAUAUCUGCAGAAAUCUCCAAGAGAAGUUUAUGCAGAUGGAAGAUCUGUCUUGACAUUCUAUAAAACCAAUGGAGUCCCAUAUAUGAUGUUGCUGCUAUCCUAACGUCAAUUCAGGUCUAUACUCCGAGGACUGCGCCUUAUGGUAGUGAGGAAAUUGAUGUGGUUCGUGAGCAAUGGGCGAAGUUUUUUUACCAGCAAGUAUUUAUUAUUGACCUGAGGAAGCUUGAUCGAGUUGGUUUAGAUGUAUAGAACAAUCUUUUAUGUUAAAAUGCAUGCGUACGUUGAAAUUGGAACGUAUGUAUAUUUAAAUGUAUUAGUACGUGCACUUUGGUUUUGGAAUAUAUACAAAACUACAGUUAUUGUUUA